This 497-nucleotide ribosomal RNA is filed under the name uncultured bacterium. RNAcentral describes it as "partial 16S ribosomal RNA". It matches the Rfam family "Bacterial small subunit ribosomal RNA", at positions 28 to 507 of the family's 1533-position model. The record is from RNAcentral.
GAUGAACGCUGGCGGCGUGCCUAAUACAUGCAAGUCGAGCGAACAGACGAGGAGCUUGCUCCUCUGACGUUAGCGGCGGACGGGUGAGUAACACGUGGAUAACCUACCUAUAAGACUGGGAUAACUUCGGGAAACCGGAGCUAAUACCGGAUAAUAUAUUGAACCGCAUGGUUCAAUAGUGAAAGACGGUUUUGCUGUCACUUAUAGAUGGAUCCGCGCCGCAUUAGCUAGUUGGUAAGGUAACGGCUUACCAAGGCGACGAUGCGUAGCCGACCUGAGAGUGUGAUCGGCCACUCUUGAACUGAGACACGGUCCAGACUCCUACGGGAGGCAGCAGUAGGGAACCUUCCGCAAUGGGCGAAAGCCUGACGGAGCAACGCCGCGUGAGUGAUGAAGGUCUUCGGAUCGUAAAACUCUGUUAUUAGGGAAGAACAAAUGUGUAAGUAACUAUGCACGUCUUGACGGUACCUAAUCAGAAAGCCACGGCUAACUACGUG